This 440-nucleotide ribosomal RNA is filed under the name uncultured bacterium. RNAcentral's name for it is "partial 16S ribosomal RNA". It matches the Rfam family "Bacterial small subunit ribosomal RNA", at positions 338 to 795 of the family's 1533-position model. The record is from RNAcentral.
CCUACGAGAGGCAGCAGUAGGGAAUCUUGCACAAUGGGCGAAACCCUGAAGCAGCAACGCCGCGUGGAGGAUGAAGGUUUUCGGAUUGUAAACUCCUUUUGUUAGAGAAGAUAAUGACGGUAUCUAACGAAUAAGCACUGGCCAACUCCGUGCCAGCAGCCGCGGUCAUACGGAGGGUGCAAGCGUUACUCGGAAUCACUGGGGGUAAAGAGCGCGUAGGCGGGAUAGCAAGUCAGAUGUGAAAUCCUAUGGCUUAACCAUAGAACUGCAUGUGAAACUGUUAUUCUAGAGUAUGGGAGAGGUAGGUGGAAUUCUAGGUGUAGGGGUAAAAUCCGUAGAGAUCAAGAGGAAUACUCAUUGCGAAGGCGACCUGCUAGAACAUAACUGACGCUGAGGCGCGAAAGCGUGGGGAGCAAACAGGAUUAGAUACCCGGGUAGUC